UCAGGCCUAACACAUGCAAGUCGAACGGUAACGCGGGGCAACCUGGCGACGAGUGGCGAACGGGUGAGUAAUGUAUCGGAACGUGCCCAGUAGUGGGGGAUAGCCCGGCGAAAGCCGGAUUAAUACCGCAUGAGACCUAUGGGUGAAAGCGGGGGAUCGCAAGACCUCGCGCUAUUGGAGCGGCCGAUAUCAGAUUAGGUAGUUGGUGGGGUAAAGGCCUACCAAGCCGACGAUCUGUAGCUGGUCUGAGAGGACGACCAGCCACACUGGGACUGAGACACGGCCCAGACUCCUACGGGAGGCAGCAGUGGGGAAUUUUGGACAAUGGGCGCAAGCCUGAUCCAGCCAAGCCGCGUGCGGGAAGAAGGCCUUCGGGUUGUAAACCGAUGGGUCAGGGAAGAAAUCUUCUGGGCUAAUACCUCGGGAGG
RNAcentral lists this ribosomal RNA (428 nucleotides) under uncultured bacterium. RNAcentral's name for it is "bacterial SSU rRNA". It matches the Rfam family "Bacterial small subunit ribosomal RNA", at positions 42 to 487 of the family's 1533-position model. The record is from RNAcentral.